RNAcentral lists this ribosomal RNA (450 nucleotides) under uncultured Glomeromycotina. RNAcentral describes it as "SSU rRNA". It matches the Rfam family "Eukaryotic small subunit ribosomal RNA", at positions 569 to 1021 of the family's 1831-position model. Lineage: Eukaryota; Fungi; Glomeromycota. The record is from RNAcentral.
AGCAGCCGCGGUAAUUCCAGCUCCAAUAGCGUAUAUUAAAGUUGUUGCAGUUAAAAAGCUCGUAGUUGAAUUUCGGAAUCUGUCCGUUGGUCGGGCUUCAUUGUCCGUACUGAUGUGAUGGGUUCUUACCUUCUGAAUAACCAGCAUGUCAUUAAUUUGGUGUGUUGGGGAAGCAGGACUAUUACCUUGAAAAAAUUAGAGUGCUCAAAGCAGGCUAGUGCCUGAAUACAUUAGCAUGGAAUAAUAAAAUAGGACGGCAUGGUUCUAUUUUGUUGGUUUCUAGGAUCACCGUAAUGAUUAAUAGGGAUAGUUGGGGGCAUUAGUAUUCAAUUGUCAGAGGUGAAAUUCUUGGAUUUAUUGAAGACUAACUUCUGCGAAAGCAUUUGCCAAGGAUGUUUUCAUUAAUCAAGAACGAAAGUUAGGGGAUCGAAGACGAUCAGAUACCGUCGU